This 4741-nucleotide long non-coding RNA is filed under the name Sus scrofa (pig). RNAcentral's name for it is "lncRNA (ENSSSCG00000063070.1)". The record is from RNAcentral. Lineage: Eukaryota; Metazoa; Chordata; Mammalia; Artiodactyla; Suidae.
UGGCAGCCUUCUCGGGCCGUCGAGGCCCUAACGGCUCUCCGUGGCGUUCAAGUGGCUGCCAUUCUUCUCGCCCUGCCACGCUGGACUCGCAAAGGCGAUGUGGCAGAGGCUUCGCCUAAGCCCUGCAGCGCUGGGCCGAGAGACCCGGCCAUCGGCUGGGCCCGGGCUUGUGGGGUCCGCCGCCGUUUGGUCGCGGAGGUGGGGGCGGCGGAGAGGUUCGCUGCUACUCCAAGGCCUGGGCCAUGGACGGCCGUGAGGACUCUGGGGCUCUGCAGGGCACAGGUCAGGCCUGUCCCAGAGCCCCCCUAGUUCACCGCCUCCCGAGGCCAGAGGGCCCCGAGGGCCCCGGGACAGAGGGCCGCGAUCCACUUCUCACCGCGCUCUCCGCCGGAACUCACCGUAAGUGUGUUUUCUAUGUCUGGGAGUCUUUCUCUUUUAUAAAUAAGUUCAUUUGAAUCAUUUUUUUAGAUUCCACAUGUAAGCAAUAUCAUAUUAUAUUUGGCUUCAUUAAAUAUAAUCUCUAGGUCCACCAACGUUGCUGCAAAUGGCAUAAUUUCAUUAUUUUUAUGGCUGAGUAAUAUUCCAUAUAUCUUGUUUCAUCCAUCCAUCUGUUGUUGGACAUUUAGAUUGCUUCCUUGUCUUGGCUAUUGCAAAUAGUACUGCAAUGAACAUUAGGACGCAUGUAUAUUUUCAAAUUAGAGUUUUCUCUGGAUGUAGGCCCAGGAGUGGGUAACUGGAUCAUAUGGUAGUUCUAUAUUUAGUUUUUUAAGGAACUUCGAUAAAGUUCUCCAUAGUGGAUGCACCAAUUUACAUUCCCACCAAGAGUAUGGGAGGGUCCCCUUUCCUCUCAAACAUUUAUUGUUUGUAGACUUUUAUUUUCAAUGUAUGGUUGUAUAGCCAUCAUCACAACUUAAUUUUAUUUUAUUUAUUUUCAUUAAGACUUCUUUAAUUUUUUAAUAUUUCCUUUGUGAUUUUUGAUUAUUAAAUCUUUUAUUAUACUUGAUUUACAAUGUUCUGUCAAUUUCUGCUGUAUGGCAAAGUGACCCAGUUAUACAUAUAUACACUUUUUCUCCAUUAUCCUCCAUAAUGGUCCAUCACAAAUAAUUAGAUAUAGUUCACUGUGCUAUACAGCAGGAUCUCAUUGCUAAUCCACUCCGAAUGCAGUAGUUUGCAUCUACUAAACCCUAACCCCAGUCUGUCCCACUCCCUCCCCAUUGACAACCACAAGUCUGGUCUCCAUGUCCAUGAGUUUGUUUCUUUACUGUGGAUAGGUUCGUUUCCGCCAUAUAUUAGAUUCCAUAUAUAAGUGAUAUCAUAUGGUGUUUGUCUUUAUCUUUCUGAAUUACUUCUCUUAGUAAGAGAGUCUCUAGUCCCAUCCAUGUUUCUGCAAAUGGUAUUAUUUUGAUCUUUUUUUUAUGGCUGAGUGGUAUUCCAUUGUGUAUAUACACCACAUUUUCUUAAUCCAUUCAUCUGUUGAUGGAUGUUUUGAUGGCUAAAUAAUAUUCCACUAUGCAUGCAUACAUACACACACAUGUAUGUGUGUGUAUAAUCAUAUAUUUACUUUAUCUACUCAUCUGUCAGUGAACACAUAGGUGAUUUUCAUGUCUUGGCUUGUGCUAAUAAUGCUGCAUUUAAAAUGGGGGUGUAAAUAUAUAUCUUUGAAAUAAUGAUAAAUUUCCUUUGGACAUGAAUAUAUACCCAGAGGGGAACUGCUGAAUCAUAUCAUGGUUCUAUUUUUAGCUUUUUGAGGAAUGGCCAUCCUGUUUUCCAUGUGGCUGUACCAAUUUCUGGUCUAACCAACUGUGCAUGAAUGUUCUCCUUUUGUUCCAAAUCUUCACCAACAGUAGUUAUCUAUCUCCUUUUUACUUUUAUAACAGCCACUCUAACAGAUGUGAGGUGAUAUCUCAUUGUGGUUUCUGUUUUCACAUUUUUCUAAAUUUCUGAAGUGUAGCAUCCUAUGGAAAGUAUGCACAUUAGAGUAUGAUUCCAUGAAUUUUCACAUGUGGAACACAGCUGUAUAACCACCACCUACAUGAAGAACUAGAACCUUACCAGCCCCCAGAGACAUCCGCUGCCCAGUGGGCCCCUUUGUAGUUAUCACUCUCUCUAAAAGUAACCUUAUUCUGGGGGAGUCAGCCGUCUUGUGAACAGUUAACGGCCAGCUGCUUUCUCCAGGGUCUGAAGGUGAGCCUGUGAGCUGAGUGGAUGUUGGGUAGUGGAGCCCAGUAUGGGAAGCUCAAAGAAGUUGGUGUGGAAGCUACAAGACCCCAUGAGGACUGGAUAAUCAAGCAUUGUUUUGGGGUCCCACAGGCUUCUUGGGAGUACUACACACUUUGAUGCCUGUUGGAGAUGAGAACCAAGAGGCUCCUAGAGGAACUGCAGAAACCGUGGCCGUGGAAGGAGGUAAAUGGCACUUGGAGAUGCAGAAAAACAAGGUUUAUUCGGCACCAGUGCCGGCUCAGAGGAGUCACCCCCAGAGUCUGAGCACCGGGUCUUUGUUCUCAGCACCUUUUAUACAAUAUCGGGUCUUGUUUCUCCCAUGCAAGCAAUCCUGAACCUCCUCCUUCCUGGAGCAGACUGACAAUGUUCCUGCCGAAGAAACUGAGCAAGCAAGGUUAUAGAAGCGAAACUGAGAAGCAAUGCUUGGAGCACCAUUAGCAGGGCUGCUGGCUUGAACAUAGGGCACGUAGUUGCUACAUAAUUAUGAGGAGGAUGGACUGAGGCUGAGCAGAACUGAAAAGGCAUGGAAAUGCUUUUUCAGGCAAGGCGGGGGUUAAGUCUCUUAGUUAAAUCUCCCAGUUCACUUCCUUGUGGGGUUCUCCCAUAAGCUUUCCUUACAUACUCUUUACAAUGCCUUUAGCCUGCUGUGAAGCAGCCUUGGUAUCUUUGCCACUUAGAGAUGUUUUCCACUUGUUUGUAUGUAGUUAGCUUAAAGUACGGAACGAAAUUUAUUUUUCUCUCCCUCCCCCUUCUUCCUAGCAUUUCCCCCUUUUCCUUUUUCUUUUCCUUUCUCCCAUUUUAGUGUCUUCUCCUUUCUCUUGAGUUAUACAUGAUAUUUCAAAAGCUAGCCUAUCUAGCAAGAUCCUUUUUCUCUGGUUAAAAGAGCAACAACAGUGUGCUUGUUUGUGUGUGUACAAGCACACACACUUGUGUCUUUUCCACACGUUUGUCUCAUUUACUCCCAAGGUGUAAACUUGGAGACAAGGAAAAGCCAGGAAGCCCUCUGUUAAUUAGUGUAUUGGUCUGUAUGAACAAACUCUUCACUAAAUGUCAAAAAUAAAGGUGUCAGGCUGCUCUCUAGGGAAAGGAUUUCCACGGAGUGCUAGGUCAUAACUGAGCUGAUGGCCUUUCAUCAGUAAGUUGUGCCCAAGGCUCUACUUCCUUCCAGUCCUUUACAAGCCGUUCAUGGAAACCAACUUAGGAGAGAACACGAUGAAACUAACCAGCCAACAAAAUUUGUUCUUGAACGACCUAGGGCUCAAUCAGGGGACACGUGGCCAAGCUGGCUGGGUGAGUCUCUCCAGUUUGGGGAGCCCACAGGGGGUGUGGGGUGGGGCUUCCAUGGAGCAGGCACAUGGGAGUCGUGGCUGCACCAGUGGGGCAACUAGGCAUGCUCAGAAGCCCUGCAGGUGGGGUCUCUCCAGGUAGCCAGGGUUUUAUAGCAGUGCGGAAGCCCAGAGGAGGAGUGGCCCCCGUUGGCCAUGACCACCACCUGCAGGCAGAGGAAGAGUUCUGAGGAGGGUAGCAGUCUCCAUCCUUUGGGGCAACAGCGUGUCUGCUUUGGAGAAAGGGUAUCCAAGGGGCAAGGACAGUAAUUCCGGAAAGAUGGGCCAGCAUUUGGCCAACACAAUCUGUUCUUCGGAGACCUGGGGUGCAAUCAGGGGACACGCUUGGCCAGGCUGGCCGGAAACCCAGCAGGUGGCUCUCUGGAGGCAUCGCGGGCAUUACCGCUGCCAGGGAAGAGGAGUGGCCAGUGGCAGCCAAGACCACCACCAGCAGGCAGAGGAAGAGUUCUGAGGAGGGAAGGGCUCUCCACCCCUUGGAAGGAGAAGGGAAGGAGAAGGGAAGGAGGAGGAGGAAAAGUGAAGGGGGUGGCACCAGUUCUUCUGGAGAAACUGGCGAUGAAUAGAAGUCAGAUACGCACUUCCUGAACGCCAGGGGGAGGCGACCCACGGAAAGUGGACUGGGAGACCCCCGCCCCCCACCCCACGCACUGGGGAGGCGUGGCUGUCAGGCUUGAGAGAGGACCCGGGGCAUAGUGGCCAGGGCCACAACCUUGGCCUGGGAAAGUUCUCAGAUGUGGUGUUAAAUCAGACUGUAUCCACCAGCCUGCACCGCAGACACAGCAACUUGGGAUCCCACCCAUGUCUGGGACCUAUACCCCCGCUUGUGGCAACACUGGAUCCUUCACCCACUGAGCCAGGCCUGGGAUCCAACCUGCAUCCUCUCAGACACGAUGUCAGGUUCUUACCCCACUGAGUCACCACAGGCACUUCUCACUCACCUCAUCAUGAUGGCUGCCUCUGUCAGUUGCUUGUGUGAUUCCCUCCAAUUGUAAAAGUGUUGUGCGCUGCCUCCCUUCCACUGUGAAAACAACCAGCCUGUGCUUGAUGCCUGAUGAGAGGACGCCAUCUCUAAAGAAAGGUACUGACUGUGGGGCUCAGACUUCAGUAAGGAAAGGAGACAAAGUGCAUGGAGUUUAUCAAGUUUAAUUUUUCAAAUGUAACCAUUGUCAUAUUAG